Molecule: long non-coding RNA, 1558 nt
Organism: Cyanistes caeruleus (blue tit)
Lineage: Eukaryota; Metazoa; Chordata; Aves; Passeriformes; Paridae
Source: RefSeq, a predicted model, not a curated record
GAAAGCCACUAGCAGCAGCAAUCAAGUGUUCCACAAGGAGCCCGGGGGAACAGGGUGUUAAUAAGUGCUGGUUUGGCUCUUGAGGAGGCACGGAGGUGCUUGGAGAUUGUAUAAAACAAACAAGGGUCAACAAUGUACUGAGAUAUGUGGGAUCAACAAGACACAGAGACGGUGCCUUUUUGUGGAAGGAAGGAAAGAAGUGUACAGCUGGAGAGGGAUUCUCGGUCAUUGUGAAGAACUUGUUGCCAGCCUAACUAUAUGAAGCCUUUUGUAACUCUCACUUGCAAGGCAAGUGUAGAGGAAGGAUUUCAAGGACAAAAACAAGGCAUUUUUUUACACCUGUUAGGGGACAUGCUGUUCGAAACUCCAGGUGUUAUCAUGGAGGAGAAUAUGGUAUGAAAGAAAAGGAACUUGUCUGAGAUUCAAAUGGAGCAGCAGAGAUGAGAGCCAUGGGCAAAUGGGAGACAGAAAUCACCUUUUAAGUGUUAAAAAGAAAAUGACAGCACAGGGACAAGCAAUAUCUCCACACAACAGAGAAAAGGCAGUCAGUGGAGGGAUUCACAAUGAGAGGUAACACGAGCAAACAGAUAGGCUACAAAAAUUAUUUUUGCAGAGGUGCUCAGAGGAAUACUGGCAAGGCAAGGCUGUUUUAAUGCUAAAGGAUGCAGCAAGAAUGAGACCCAAGUUAAUGAGCUCCUGGUUGAGGGUUUUAUUGUGUAACUGGAUAAGCAAGUUAGAUUUUAUUUUUACUUUAAAAAAAGAGGAGAAAUUUAAACUAGGGGAUGGGUGUAAGAAGCUAAAGAGAAGCUCACACAUAGACUGUGAGUUUGAUGCAAGGUCACUCUGUUAUCCAAUGGUUUAAGAAAGAACCAGCAGGAAAGAAUGGGCUUUGACAGGAAGAGCUCUGCUGCUGUUUGGCAUAACUCGCUGACAUCUCCUCAUGAAUUGCUAACCAAGUAGAUAUUUUAGUUUGGACAGGAAGAGAACUCUUUUGUGCAGACAGCAGAUUCAUUGGUUGAGGAAAGAGUCAGGGAGUGGUGUUUGCAGAGCAGAAUAUUCAAAAUUAGAGGAGUGCAGGAAAGAGGAUGGCAGGUCUAUAGAAAUAAAAAAAAGGAGAAGAUUUGGCCAUGAUCCAGGUGGCUGGAAAGCUGGGAUGGCUGGGGCUGUCCUGGGGCAGGGAUAUACCAGAGAUGCUUGAUUCCAGCUGGGCUGGGAGUAAAGCCAAAGAGACAGAGUGGAGCUACUGCUUUUGAGAAAGGGCCCCAAAACCUCAAGGUGAAAUGGGCUGUUUGGCAGGACAGAAGGUAUGGGUCACACCAGUGAAAUACCACUUUAAAUUACUAUAUCUUAUGACUGAAUAGAAAGAAGAACAUACUUGUUCUCUAACUCUAAUAACCUGGCAUUGUUCACUUCUUAGUUGUGUGUAAGCCAAGCUUCCCAUCAUGGUGGCUCAAACUUGAAAUGACCACUGUCUCUAAGAAGACUAGGAGAUAAAACCUAUUUAUAGCAGUGGACUCUCCCACCAGGCUGUACAACUAGGGCUUUCAAAGGAAAUAAA